AGCGGGCACGGCUGUGAGAGCCCCCUAGGUACAGCGGGGCUGCAGCGUGAUCGCCUGCUCA
Molecule: microRNA precursor, 61 nt
Filed under: Rattus norvegicus (Norway rat)
Lineage: Eukaryota; Metazoa; Chordata; Mammalia; Rodentia; Muridae
Description: Rno-Mir-666_pre stem-loop
Source: RNAcentral